Molecule: unclassified non-coding RNA, 413 nt
Filed under: soil metagenome
Description: partial contains 5.8S ribosomal RNA, internal transcribed spacer 2, and large subunit ribosomal RNA
Rfam family: 5.8S ribosomal RNA (bases 1-120)
Source: RNAcentral
GAUGAAGAACGUAGCGAAAUGCGAUAAGCAAUGUGAAUUGCAGAAUUCAGUGAAUCAUCGAAUCUUUGAACGCACCUUGCGCUCUUUGGUAUUCCGAAGAGCAUGCCUGUUUGAGUGUCAUGAAAAUAUCAACCUUGACUUGGGUUUUGUGCUCUAGUCUCGGCUUGGAAUUGGGUGCUUGCCGCUUUUACGAGCGGCUCACCUUAAAUGUAUUAGCUGGAUCUGUCUUUGAGACUUGGUUUGACUUGGCGUAAUAAGUAUUUCGCUAAGGACAUUCUUCGGAGUGGCCUCGUUUCUAGGACGCUUGUCCGCUUUCCAAUACAAGUUCCACCUCGUGGACAUGACUUUUUAUUAUCUGGCCUCAAAUCAGGUAGGACUACCCGCUGAACUUAAGCAUAUCAAUAAGCGGAGGA